This 196-nucleotide ribosomal RNA is filed under the name uncultured Banisveld landfill bacterium BVC92. RNAcentral describes it as "partial 16S ribosomal RNA". It matches the Rfam family "Bacterial small subunit ribosomal RNA", at positions 350 to 548 of the family's 1533-position model. The record is from RNAcentral.
AGCGGCCUUGGAUAUCGGUAUGGACGAAAGUCUGACCGCGCGACACCGCGUGUAGGAAUAAGCUCUAACGAGCGUAAACUACUGUGAUAGAGGAAGAAGUCCCGACUUAGUCGGGAUUGACGGUACUCUAUAAGAAAGGGGCCGCUAACUGCGUGCCAGAAGCGUCGGUAAUACGUGGGCCCCAAACAUUAUCCGG